UUGAUUACAAAUUUUACUUUUUGAACUCACCCUAUUACUUUAAUACCUUUCUCAUCAAGGCAUUCAAUGUAAUCAACUUUCUUUUUCUCUUGUGGAAUAGCAUUUUGUAACACAGGUUUCUUAAUAGAUUUCGCAAAACCGAAGGAAAUCUUCUUUCCUUCUUCUGCCAUUUAUUUGUUAUUUUAACACUGACUUACAGAUCAAUACACAUGUAUAUACUAGACAUAAAGAUUGAUGUCACGUGAAUCUAUGUACAUGAAUCUAAUAUCUUAUUAUACUUUAUUAAUCUACUCAAAAUUACUUGCACAUUACUAAAAUUUUAUUCCGACAAUGUAUCAAGCGCCUGAAUAAGUGACAUUAAAGUAAACAUAUAUCAAAGAGGAAAUAAGAAGAACUGACGCCUAUGGUUUUCUAUGUUACAGAGCUAGUGCUGCACCAUACGGCCAAAUGCCGAAGGUAGCUUGUGCUAGUAUAUACCUGCCUAUACGUUUCAAUGAGAAAAUCGAUAUUAUGUGUUUAUGUGAAAAUUCACAUUUCCCUAGGAGCUGUAUUUUGAUAGAUUUAAGCUUCUAAUGGAGCAUUUUAAACGUAUAGAGUAUACUAUGAAGUAGAUAGUAGUGCGGAUCAUUUUAUAUUCAUAGAAAAUUUGAAUGUAUAGAAAUGUACAAAAUGCUCAUGAUAUGCAAAAAUAUGCAAAAUAUUCAAAGUAAACCGAUCAUCAAAAAGUUUAGAAGGUGAAACAAAUUUCUUUAAUAACACCUAGAUUAAUUUUUAUUUGUUAACAAUCCCAUAUAUAACCAUAGUUUUCGCCCGGCGCAUAUACGCGCCCAUACAUGCGUUAAUAAGAUAAGAGGAAAUAAAAGACAGAUUAUCGAUAAAAUACACUAACACAUAUGUAAUACAUGGAUAUAUUACCACUCAGAUUACACAUAUUAUAUAUUAUAAGGGAAUAUGUAUACCACGUAUACAUUUAUGUAGAACGAAUAUUUCAAACUUGUUUAUAGCGCGUACGCACACAUACAUGCACGCACGCGAACAAUUUUUCGAACGAUAAUUAUAUUAAUGAUAUAUAUUAUGAUAACCAUUUAUAUUUUUUAAAAUAUGUUCUUAUGGCAUACAUAUUUAUUCCACGCUUCAUAUCUAUCCACAUCCGUAACUUUUUUCCCAUAUUGGACUUAUUUCUAGCAGCCAUGCUUGCUUACAAAGCAAUUUUAUAUCCACGCAAGAAUAUUUUUCAGUAGAUUUUAUUAUGUGGUUUACAAUAUCCAUAUUCUCUAAUAACUGGUUGCUAAGGUAUAAUUUGAACAUACCAAGUCGAGUAACUUCAUUUGGUAAUGAUACGUAUAUUUUCUUUUCAAGAAAAAGUCUGCGUAAAGCUGCAUCAAUGUCCCUAAUAAUAUAUUUACAAUAAAUAUUAUUGUUCUGUUA
Long non-coding RNA from Bombus terrestris (buff-tailed bumblebee), 1428 nucleotides. RefSeq lists it as uncharacterized. The record is from RefSeq and is a predicted model, not a curated record. Lineage: Eukaryota; Metazoa; Arthropoda; Insecta; Hymenoptera; Apidae. The transcript has 2 exons.